RNAcentral lists this transfer RNA (77 nucleotides) under Rivularia sp. IAM M-261. Its description in RNAcentral is "tRNA-Glu". It matches the Rfam family "tRNA". Rfam says of the family: Transfer RNA (tRNA) molecules are approximately 80 nucleotides in length. Their secondary structure includes four short double-helical elements and three loops (D, anti-codon, and T loops). RNAcentral also lists the same sequence under 1 other name. Lineage: Bacteria; Bacillati; Cyanobacteriota; Cyanophyceae; Nostocales; Rivulariaceae. The record is from RNAcentral.
AGUGUCGUCCGCUAAUUGGUGAAGCGUCUUGUCUUUCAAACAAGAGAAUGCGAGUUCAAGCCUCGUCGGCACUACCA